RNAcentral lists this small RNA (220 nucleotides) under Streptomyces sp. NRRL WC-3605. RNAcentral describes it as "Actinobacteria sRNA Ms_IGR-5". It matches the Rfam family "Actinobacteria sRNA Ms_IGR-5". Lineage: Bacteria; Bacillati; Actinomycetota; Actinomycetes; Kitasatosporales; Streptomycetaceae. The record is from Rfam by way of RNAcentral.
ACUUCGGAAAGGAGGUGGUUCGGCAGAUGUAUGCAUACCGGACGGAAGAGGUGGCUGCGGGCUAGCGGCCCGUCACCCACCACGUGCGGUGCCGGACCAGCGUGUGAGUGAUACACGCAGCCGGCCAAUUCCACGCAGUCACCCGACCCGCGAGCUCGCCGGUACGUCCGGCCGGCUCCCCCGCCCCGGCGGAGGGACCAGAGCUCGCGGGUCGCUGCGU